UGCCUUUACACAUGCAAGUCGAGCGGCAGCACGGGGGCAACCCUGGCGGCGAGUGGCGAACGGGUGAGUAAUAUAUCGGAACGUGUCCAGUAAUGGGGGAUAACCAACCGAAAGCUUGGCUAAUACCGCAUACGCCCUGAGGAGGAAAGUGGGGGAUCGCAGGACCUCACGUUACAGGAGCGGCCGAUAUCGGAUUAGCUAGUUGGUGGGGUAAAGGCUCACCAAGGCGACGAUCCGUAGCGGGUCUGAGAGGACGACCAGCCACACUGGAACUGAGACACGGUCCAGACUCCUACGGGAGGCAGCAGUGGGGAAUUUUGGACAAUGGGCGCAAGCCUGAUCCAGCCAUGCCGCGUGAGUGAAGAAGGCCUUCGGGUUGUAAAGCUC
RNAcentral lists this ribosomal RNA (387 nucleotides) under uncultured organism. RNAcentral's name for it is "bacterial SSU rRNA". It matches the Rfam family "Bacterial small subunit ribosomal RNA", at positions 45 to 433 of the family's 1533-position model. The record is from RNAcentral.